GACGAACGCUGGCGGCGUGCUUAACACAUGCAAGUCGAACGGUAAGGCCCUUCGGGGUACACGAGUGGCGAACGGGUGAGUAACACGUGGGUGAUCUGCCCUGCACUUCGGGAUAAGCCUGGGAAACUGGGUCUAAUACCGGAUAGGACCACUGCCUGCAUGGGUGGUGUGGAAAGCCUUUGCGGUGUGGGAUGGGCCCGCCGCCUAACAGCUUGUUGGUGGGGUGAUGGCCUACCAAGGCGACGACGGGUAGCCGGCCUGAGAGGGUGACCGGCCACACUGGGACUGAGAUACGGCCCAGACUCCUACGGGAGGCAGCAGUGGGGAAUAUUGCACAAUGGGCGCAAGCCUGAUGCAGCGACGCCGCGUGAGGGAUGACGGCCUUCGGGUUGUAAACCUCUAUCAGCACCGACGAAGCGCAAGUGACGGUAGGUGCAGAAGAAGGACCGGCCAACUACGUGCCAGCCGCCGCAGUAA
This 477-nucleotide ribosomal RNA is filed under the name uncultured bacterium. Its description in RNAcentral is "partial 16S ribosomal RNA". It matches the Rfam family "Bacterial small subunit ribosomal RNA", at positions 28 to 523 of the family's 1533-position model. The record is from RNAcentral.